Molecule: long non-coding RNA, 1598 nt
Organism: Acinonyx jubatus (cheetah)
Lineage: Eukaryota; Metazoa; Chordata; Mammalia; Carnivora; Felidae
Exons: 2
Source: RefSeq, a predicted model, not a curated record
UGGCGUUCAGUUGGUUCACGCUUAGUUCCAGCCAGCAAACACAUCGUGUGCGGACGGUUGAUGCCCUGCGUGUCUGGAACUGAAACGCCUCUCUUGCCUAUGCGCGGAGGUAGCAGGCUGGUGGCUCCGGGCUGGGUUCUGUCCAUAGAUGUGUUGUGUUUGAGCCAUACGCGUUGCCGAAGAAAGAGGAAGGAAUUGAUGGCCAGCCCUUAAAAAUCAGGAGAUCGCUCACAUGUCUCAGAUUUCUGGUUCUCUUGAAAAAUGACAAACUCUGGUAAUUCUGAGGCCUUGUUUCCUACAAGGUGGCGGGGUGGGGCAGGGGGUGGGCGCCACUCCCCCCACCAGCCACGUCUCGGAUUCCUGUUUCCCACUUGGGCCGUUGACAUUUGAGUCUGCAGCCCCUUCCUUGGAGACACCAUUUGUGUGUGUUCGCGUUUCAUCCGGACUUUGAAAUCUUUGCCCCAUUCCUCCAUCGAUUCCUUCCUCAGUCGCUCUGCACCAGCUCUGUCCGGCUCCGCACGAGGCUCCGGGGAACUAGCGUUGAACUCAGCAGACAUCAGUGCACCCAGGCCCUGGCCCUGGCAGUGUGGGGAGCACCGGAGAGAUGGUUUGUCCAGCAUCUCCUAAGGGGCCUGGACUUGUUCUGGUCCUUGGAAUACAACCCACCACCCCACCCCCCUCCAGGGCCUCACCUCCUAACUGGGCAGAUACUCAGAAUAGACACCGUGAGAACGUAGACUGUCACCGAACCCCCCGGCCAGUUCGACAGGCUCCCUGUGACCCCGAACUGCCCGCUGGGGCUGAUGUGGUACACGCUCCCCGGUGCACCGCCUGAGGACAGAAUAAAUACGGCGUCUCAGACUCCAGUGUAUGUUUUUCAGAUGUGUGGAGAGGCUUUUGUUGUAAAUUAAAAAGCAACAUUUAUCCCGACUGUGUGCGCGGUAACUUUUCGUCGUUGAGCUUUUUCCUCAGAACAGCGGAAAAGUACGAGUGCCGUCCCACGAGGCCGUAGCAAGUUCUUGUGGAUCAGCACUCACUGGGUUUGGGUCAAUUUUAAACUUCUUUCAGAUUUUACACUUCCUCCUCCUCCCCUCCCCCCCUUAACAGUGUUUGUGGUCAAGAUGAAUCCAGUCAACGCAUACAACAUUUUUGUGGCUCCGGGUAGGCCUUCAUUCACUCACACGUGCAACUUACCCAGUCUGUCCUUUGUAGGCAAACGCUGUGAUGCCUCACAGCACGGGGUCCGAAGAAGACCGGCUCUCCCAGGGUCCUGGUCCAAGAGUAACAUGAAAAUGGUCUUGAACAUGUCUGCAGCGUCCUGUCAUUCUGAGAAUAUGCAUCGAGAGACAGCCUCCUUUCACUCCACCCGCGGGGCCGUCCUGGGGGCUGGGUCAGGGCUCAUUCUCCCUAUUUUGCGCCUGAGGACAACUAAGAUCCAGGAAGGUGUGGGGGACCGACCAGGCGGUCUCCAGCUCCCUGCCCGGCCACCGUUCCGCCUUCACAGAGCACCGCUUAGAGCCUCCCGUGGUGCUGGGCACACAGUAGCUUCAUCUUGAUUCUUGCUCAUGUUUCUGUUUCUGGUCUUCCCUAAGGGGGGA